CUGGCGGCACGCCUAACACAUGCAAGUCGAACGGUAACAUUUCUAGCUUGCUAGAAGAUGACGAGUGGCGGACGGGUGAGUAAUGCUUGGGAACUUGCCUUUGCGAGGGGGAUAACAGUUGGAAACGACUGCUAAUACCGCAUAAUGUCUUCGGACCAAACGGGGCUUCGGCUCCGGCGCAAAGAGAGGCCCAAGUGAGAUUAGCUAGUUGGUAAGGUAACGGCUUACCAAGGCGACGAUCUCUAGCUGUUCUGAGAGGAAGAUCAGCCACACUGGGACUGAGACACGGCCCAGACUCCUACGGGAGGCAGCAGUGGGGAAUAUUGCACAAUGGGGGAAACCCUGAUGCAGCCAUGCCGCGUGUGUGAAGAAGGCCUUCGGGUUGUAAAGCACUUUCAGUUGUGAGGAAAAGUUAGUAGUUAAUACCUGCUAGCCGUGACGUUAACAACAGAAGAAGCACCGGCUAACUCCGUGCCAGCAGCCGCGGUAAUACGGAGGGUGCGAGCGUUAAUCGGAAUUACUGGGCGUAAAGCGCACGCAGGCGGUUUGUUAAGCUAGAUGUGAAAGCCCCGGGCUCAACCUGGGAUGGUCAUUUAGAACUGGCAGACUAGAGUCUUGGAGAGGGGAGUGGAAUUCCAGGUGUAGCGGUGAAAUGCGUAGAUAUCUGGAGGAACAUCAGUGGCGAAGGCGACUCCCUGGCCAAAGACUGACGCUCAUGUGCGAAAGUGU
Molecule: ribosomal RNA, 729 nt
Filed under: bacterium T455
Lineage: Bacteria
Description: bacterial SSU rRNA
Rfam family: Bacterial small subunit ribosomal RNA
Source: RNAcentral